AUUAAACGCUGGCGGCAUGCCUUACACAUGCAAGUCGAACGGCAGCACGGGGGCAACCCUGGUGGCGAGUGGCGGACGGGUGAGUAAAGCAUCGGAACGUAUCCUGGAGUGGGGGAUAACGUAGCGAAAGUUACGCUAAUACCGCAUAUUCUGUGAGCAGGAAAGCAGGGGACCGCAAGGCCUUGCGCUCUUUGAGCGGCCGAUGUCAGAUUAGCUAGUUGGUGAGGUAAAGGCUUACCAAGGCGACGAUCUGUAGCGGGUCUGAGAGGAUGAUCCGCCACACUGGAACUGAGACACGGUCCAGACUCCUACGGGAGGCAGCAGUGGGGAAUUUUGGACAAUGGGCGCAAGCCUGAUCCAGCCAUGCCGCGUGAGUGAAGAAGGCCUUCGGGUUGUAAAGGUACUCUUUCGGUCCGGGAACGGAAAUACGG
RNAcentral lists this ribosomal RNA (431 nucleotides) under uncultured bacterium. RNAcentral's name for it is "bacterial SSU rRNA". It matches the Rfam family "Bacterial small subunit ribosomal RNA", at positions 30 to 457 of the family's 1533-position model. The record is from RNAcentral.